This is a non-coding RNA of Procavia capensis (Cape rock hyrax), 134 nucleotides long. The record is from Rfam. NCBI's taxonomy places the organism in Eukaryota, Metazoa, Chordata, Mammalia, Hyracoidea, Procaviidae.
AAGCUCUGCGGACUGCUCUUUGCUAGAAGUAAUUUUGGAAAUUUAAAUUAUUUUUUCUGCAGAGACCUAGUGGGCCAAUAUACUACCGGACAGGUUAUCCCGUCUCUCUCGCUAGAUUGAUGAGAUCAGGCAUC